RNAcentral lists this ribosomal RNA (253 nucleotides) under uncultured bacterium. RNAcentral's name for it is "partial 16S ribosomal RNA". It matches the Rfam family "Bacterial small subunit ribosomal RNA", at positions 524 to 776 of the family's 1533-position model. The record is from RNAcentral.
UACGGGGGGGGCAAGCGUUGUUCGGAAUUACUGGGCGUAAAGGGUUCGUAGGUAGUCAACUAAGUCAUACGUGAAAUCCCUCGGCUUAACCGGGGAACUGCGCCUGAUACUGGUUGACUUGAGUUUGGGAGAGGGACGCGGAAUUCCAGGUGUAGCGGUGAAAUGCGUAGAUAUCUGGAGGAACACCGGUGGCGAAGGCGGCGUCCUGGACCAAUACUGACACUGAGGAGCGAAAGCCAGGGGAGCAAACGGG